UUUUCUCACUACACAACCCAACUGGCCACCCACACACACACUGUUACUGUUUCCUUUUGUCACUAAUAUUGGCGACUCAACUCAUUGUUAGUCUGGUAACUCCCAAGCAUCACCAAUAUCGGCGACCAACUUAAUCUUUUGAGUGAUGACAACUAAUAUCGGCGCCCCAACCCCAUGUCAACACUACCACCGCUAAUAUAUCAUCACCACAUUCAUACUCAAUAUACCGCAUAUACAUGCAUACUUAACCCAUAUACAAGUCAUUACAAUUUAAAAUACUGAUAAACAAUCAAUAU
This 296-nucleotide long non-coding RNA is filed under the name Carica papaya (papaya). Its description in RNAcentral is "long non-coding RNA (CPAP_LNC000419)". Lineage: Eukaryota; Viridiplantae; Streptophyta; Magnoliopsida; Brassicales; Caricaceae. The record is from RNAcentral.